RNAcentral lists this transfer RNA (66 nucleotides) under Homologenus malayensis. RNAcentral's name for it is "tRNA-Cys". The record is from RNAcentral. Lineage: Eukaryota; Metazoa; Arthropoda; Malacostraca; Decapoda; Homolidae.
GGCUUUAUAGUAGAAAAAAAGAUAUUAAAUUGCAAAUUUAAAGAUGUGUAUGGUACACUGAAGCUU